Molecule: ribosomal RNA, 763 nt
Filed under: uncultured Glomus
Lineage: Eukaryota; Fungi; Glomeromycota; Glomeromycetes; Glomerales; Glomeraceae
Description: eukaryotic LSU rRNA
Rfam family: Eukaryotic large subunit ribosomal RNA
Source: RNAcentral
GCAUAUCAAUAAGCGGAGGAAAAGAAAAUAACAAUGAUUCCCCUAGUAACUGCGAGUGAAGAGGGAUAAGCUCAAAUUUUAAAUCUGUUAGGUUUUUGCCUGACCGAAUUGUGAUUUGAAGAUCGCGUUUUCUUAAUAACUUCGAUUUAGCCUAAAUCUUUUGGGAUAAAGUAUCAUGGAGGGUGAGAAUCCCGUGUGGUUAAAUCGAUUCUUUACGAUACGCUUUCAAAGAGUCAGGUUGUUUGGGAAUGCAGCUUAAAAUGGGAGGUAAAUUUCUCCUAAGGCUAAAUAUUGGCGAGAGACCGAUAGCGAACAAGUACCGUGAGGGAAAGAUGAAAAGAAUUUUGAAAAGAAAGUCAAAUAGUACGUGAAAUUGUUGAAAGGGAAGCGAUUGAAGCCAGUCGUACCCGCGAGAAAUCAACCUUUCGAGGGCGAUCCCGUGGAUGUUUGGGAGCCUUAACGGUCCCUACGUUUUCGGGUUUGUUCUCUUUUGGCGUAAUUUCUUGCGCGGUAGGUUAACAUCAAUUUCGGACGUCAUAAAAUGAUCGGAGGAAUGUGGCUUCGAUUUUUCGAAGUGUUUAUAGCCUUCGGUAGAUACGACGAACGGGAUUGAGGAUUGCAACGAAUACCUUUUAGGCUAUUCGUCUGAUCUCUAAUCGUUGCCUUGGUACCGAAAGCGUGCUUAUGGUCAUUGAGGUUGAUGGUUAAAAGGUUAGAACGAAUUACAUUCGUUAGGGAUGUUGACGUAAUGGCUUUAAACGAC